UUGAUACAAACUCAGAGAUAUCACGUUUCAUACUCGGCCACCAAUACAUCUUUUUCAAGUCAUUAUACAUUUUAUUACCUCCCGGAUGUACGGACAUAAUACCACUGUGUGCUUCGUGUAAAAUCUUCUGUACAAGUUCUGAUUCUUCGGUACACAUACUCUGCCUCUGAAUAAUAAACAACCAUCAGUUUCAAUCUGAAAUUCUGAAUCAUUACCUGACUCACAAUGCACCCGUUUAGCCUGUAAUUUCUCAUCAUUCCUCUGAGCUUCACAUAUUUGUUGACGAAAUGUCGAUUUAGCUCUCAAUUCAGCUAUGAUUGAACCAUCAUUAGACAGUGACAACCGGGUAUUCAUAGCUCGUAAAGCAAAUAGAGAUUUUCGGCUCAAAGCAUCAGCUACCACGUUAGCCUUACUCGGAUGGUAAUCAAUAACCAAAUCAUAAUCCUUUAUCAAUUCAAGCCACCUGCGUUGUCUCAAAUUCAAAUCUUUCUGUGUCAUCAAAUAUUUCAAGCUUUUGUGAUCAGUAUAAAUAUGACACUUUUCACCAUACAAAUAAUCCCGUCAUAUUUUCAAUGCAAAUACAAUAGCAGCUAACUCGAGAUCAUGUACCGGGUAGUUUCUUUCAUGUGGCUUAAGUUGUCUUGAAGCAUAGGCUAUUACUUUAUCUUCUUGCAUCAAGACACAACCCAAACCAUUUAAUGAUGCAUCACUAUAAAUAAUAAAUUCCUUACCCGAUUCAGGCUGUACCAACACAGGUGCUUUCGUUAACAACUCCUUCAAUCGGUCGAAACUUUGCUGGCAUUUUUCUGUCCAUUCAAAUUUAACAUCUUUCUGUAAUAAACGGGUCAUUGGAGAAGCUAUCAUAGAAAACCCUUGUACAAAUCUCCGAUAAUAACCAGCUAAACCCAAGAAACUUCUAACUUCAGAUACAUUCUUCGGUGGACUCCAAUUGACAAUAGCUGAAAUUUUACUCAGAUCUACCCUGAUGCCUUCUGCGGAUACAAUAUGUCCGAGAAAACCUACCUCUCGAAGCCAAAAUUCACAUUUACUGAAUUUAGCAUAAAGUUUCUUUUCACGCAAAAUUUGCAACACUAUUUUCAAAUGUUCUGCAUGAUCAGUUUCAUCCCGAGAAUACUUAGUUGAAUUCAAUCCCCAGGUCAUUUAAUAUCGAACAAACACGUAUGACAUCACCAAUUCAUUAGAUCAGAGGUACUUACUUGAAUUCAAUCCUAAUAAAGGAUUUUAUCAAUCACCAAGAAUACUUAGUGUAUUCGCGUAGUCAAUAUUUAGGAAUAUAUUUAAAUAGUCACUUUUAUUAAUCAAUAAUUACAUGAAUUUUAUGAACAAAUUGUACACUACAUCAAUAAGUUGAAACCCACACCUAGAUUAAGGGUCUCAUGACACUAGAUCAAAUCUUCCCCACUUCAACGAUACGGAUCUAAUCAGAUCUCGCUUGAUCUGAUCAAGUAAUGAUAGUAUGACACCAAAGGUACACACAUUAGUUCUGAUUUUAGUCCAAAAUAUUCUCUUAUGAAAUUGUUUUGAGGAACUUACUCUAUUAAUCAUCGAAGGAGAUCUAAGAACUUCCUCUACAGUAAGGCAAAUCCAAACAAUCUAGAUUGAAUCCUUCAUGAAAAUAUUUACGCAAACAUUAGUCACAGAUUCGGCUCAUAUAUAUAAAAAAGAAAUGAGUGAGAUAGAUGAACGUAUCUUUACUUACUCUAUAUUGGGUUAAAUCGGAGACUAUGAAUCAAUUAGAGAAUUUUGCAAAAGUGAUAGAGGGGAGACUAUUGAGAAAUUAAAAAAAAAGAAAUAGUGAGUAAGAUUAUUAUUUAAUAAAUUGAAAAGAAUAGAGAAAAGAAUGAUAAUAGUUAAAUUAUGACCAAGAAAUGAAAAGAUGAGGAAAAAUGAAGAAAAAUAGGCGAUGGCGGUGACGGUGGCAGUGGAGGUCCGGCAAUAAAGGUCCAGCGGUGGAGUUAAGAAAGAGAAUGGAACAGGCGAUGGUGAUAUGGUAUUUGGUUGGUGGUAUGGCGGAGGCUAACGAUGGUGGAAGUGGUGCAAAAAGAGAAGUGGUGGCACAAGAGGAGGAGAGGGAAAAGGAAAUUAAAACAAAACAGUUCUUUUCUUCACUUACUAGGCAUGGCAUACAAGGGUCAAAGGGGGAGAAAGAUGGAAAGGAGUGAAACUAGGGGGAGAAAAGGAAAGGAAGGGGAACAAAUGGGAGUGAAAAUGGGGAUACAAAAGGAAGGAUGAGAAAGAUAAGAGAAGAAAGAAUCUCUCUUACAUGGAAACAAAUAUGGGCAAAAAAAAGGGGUUUGACCAAGAUGUUUAUGCCAAAAUUAAAAAUAAAAGUAGGAGAGGGGACUCGAACUUGGUUAUCAAGGGAAACUACACUACUUCUUAACCACUAGGCUAGAACACAUUCUCUCUCAAGAAUUAAUGAUAACUAAAUUUAAAUCGGAUGUGACAACUCUAUCCUCCUUAAAAAUAAAUUUCAUCAUUGAAAUUUACCUAAUUAGAAUAGAUGGGGAUAUUAUUCAUGAAUCAAGUCCUCUAGCUCCCAAGUAGUCUCCUUAGUGCUAUGAUUUUGCCAAAAGACCUUUACCAGUGGAAUCCACUCUUUCCUCAUAAAUUUAACCUCACGCUCCAAGAUCUGAACUGGCUCCUCAAAAGAUAAAUUUGGCCUCACCUGAAUCUCCUUAAUCGGAACCACAUGAGAUGGGUUAGAUCGGCACACCUCAGUAUAUAGACAUGGAACACAUCAUGGAUAUAGUCAAGCUCUAAAAGUAACUCAAAUUGAUAAACCACAGGUCCAACCCUAUUAAGAAUCCUAUAAGGCCCAAUAAACAUUGGGCUCAACUUGUCCUACCAACCAAAUCACAAAACCUUAUUUCAUGGUAGCACUAUUAGAAAUACCCGAUCCCCGAAAAUAAACUCUAUAUCCUUUUUUUUCAAAUCUAUAUAGGAUUUAUGUUCAUUCAAUGUUGCAAUCAAUCUGUCUUAAAUUAGAUUAACAAUACUCUCAAUCUACUGAACCAAAUCCGUCCCAACAUUUUCUUCUCACCUAACUCAGUCCAACACAAAGGUGUAUGAUAUAUUUGACCAUAUACUGCCUCAUAGGGUAUCAUUUGAAUGCUGAACUAAAAGAUGUUAUUAUACACAAAAUCUGCUAGUGGAAAAUGCUCCUCCUAACUACCUCAAAAAUCAAUUACACAACCUCCUAGCAUGUCUUCAAGGAUCUAAAUAACCUGCUCAGAUUACCUAUCAGAUUGUGGAUGAAAGCCAUACUAAAGUCCAGUCGAGUAUUGAGAGCCUCAUGUAACAUCUUUCAAAACUAAGAUGUAAAAACAAGGACCCUGAUUUGAAAUAAUCGAUACUGGUACCCCAUGUAGUCUCGCUAUCCCUGAAAUAUACAAUCUCGCCAACUUCUGUAGAUAAUAAUCUGUAUGGACAGGUAGGAAGUUAGCUGACUUAGUCAGUCUAUCCACAAUAACCCAAAUUGAACCUUUCUUAGAUGUGCCAGGGGUAACCCACUAAUAUAAUCCAUAUUCAUUUGCUCCCAUUUUUACUGAAGGAUCUUAAUAGUACGUAACAAGCCAGAAGGAAGCUGGUGCUCGACCUUCACUUGCUGACAUGUCAAACAUUUAGCCAUAUAAUAGAUUACCCCACACUUCAGACCUGACCACCAAUAAAGUUCUCUCAAAUCACAGUGCAUCUUAUUCCAACUAGGAUGUAUAGCGUAAGGGCUACUAUGCGCUUAUUGAAGUAUGGACUAUCUUAGAUCUUUGCUGUCCGACACAUAAUAUAUUCCACGAUAACACAAGACACCAUCAGAAUUGAACCCAAAAUCUAUAGUCUUACCCUCCUCAAUCUGUUUAAUCCGAGGUAAAAAAGACACAUCUAAAGGUUGCUUCACCUUAAUCUCAUCAAAGUCUUUACCUGUAAUUCCGCGAGUAAGCCACCAUCACCAAACAAACUCAGCUUAGUGAACAUUGCUCUCAAAUCAAUCAUUGGCCUUCUACACAGUGCAUCAGCUACGACGUUAGCUUUUCUUGAAUGGUGCUCAAUGGUGUAAUCAUAAUCCUUAAGCAACUUUAUCCAUCUUCACUGCCUUAAGUUUAACUACUUUUGGGAGAGAAGGUACUUCAGGCUAUUAUUAUCCGUGUAAAUGAUACACUUCUCACUAUAUAGACAAUGCCUCCAAAUUUUCAAAGCAAAAACCACAAUCACCAACUCAAAGUUAGGUGUCGGGUAAUUGCACUCAUGCUAUUUAAGUUAUCUCGAUGCAUAGGCCACAACCUUACCAUAUUGCAUCAGUACAAAACCUACACCAGUGUGGGACACAUCAUUAUAAACCACAUAAUCUUCCCAGACUUGGGCUGAAUUAGAACCAGUGCUUGAGUCAACAUGGACUUAAGCUUCUUAAAGUUGGUUUGUUACUCAGUAUAUUUAAAAGGAGCAUUUUUCCUUAAUAUAUUAGUCAUAGGGGCCUUAAUCAAUGAGAAUCCUUCCACAAACCUCUGAUAAUAAUAGUAAACCCAAGAAAACUUCGGAUCUCACUAACAUUCUUAAGCUGCUUCUAAUCUAGAAUGGCCUCAAUCUUCUUUAGAUCAACACGGAAACCUUUAUUUGAUACUAUAUGACCCAAAAACAUCAACUCUCUAAGCUAGAAUUCACAUUUACUCAGCUUAGUAUAAAGCUUCUUCUCACGGAGAAUCUGCAGAAUAACCCUCAAAUGUUCAUCAUGCUCAAGUUCAAACUUAAAGUAGAUCAAUAUGUCAUUGAUGAAGACUACAACAAACUGGUCAAGGUAAGGCUAAAAUACCUGGUUCAUUAAGUUUAUGAAAGUAGUUGGAGCAUUCAUAAGACCAAAGGGCAUCAUCAGAAACUCGUAAUGACCAUAUCGAAUCCUAAAUACGGUCUUAGGUACAUUGGAUUCCUUCACCUCCAACUAAUAGUACCCGAACCUUAAGUUGAUCUUAGAAAACACUGUAGCACCUUUGAACUGAUCGAACAAGUCAUAAAUCAUCAAUAAGGGAUACUUGUUCUUUACGAUCAUCUUGUUCAGUUGCUAGUAUUCAAUGCAAAGCCUUACAGAUCCAUCAUUCUUCUUGACAAACAAGACUGAAGCUCCCCAUGGCGGAACACUCGGUCUUAUGAAACCAUAGUCCAAAAGUUCCUAAAGCUGAACACUAAGCUCCUUAAGUUUCUUAAGUGCUAUGAGGUAGGGAGCAAUGGACACUAGAGUAGUCUCAGGCAAUAGAUCUAUCCCAAACUUGACCUCCUACUCCAAAUGUAAUCCAGACAACUCUUCCAAAAAAAGGUUAGGGAAAUCCCUCACAGUUUAGAUACCUUUCACAGCUAUUACAGUUACAUUUGUGUCCAAAACAUAAGCCAGAUAAGCCUCGUAUCCCUUACAAACCAACUUCCUAGUCAUUAAAGCAAAGAUCACAUUAGAUAAGUAAUUUUUACGCUCACCAAUCAUCAAAAUCUACAUACCAACUGAAGUCUUCAGAAUAACCUUUUUCGAAGCACAAUUUAAAUUGACUUGGUGUUCCACCAACCAGUCCACACCCAUAAUUAGAUCAAAUUCUCUGAAGGAAAACUCCAUCAGAUCAACUAGAAAUAUUUCCCAAAAAACUUCCAACUGGUAUCUUCUAUAAAUCUUAUUCACGGUAACAAAUUGUUCUAAGGGACUGACUACAGUUUAUCAGCCAUCAAACAAGAAACAUACAAGUGGUAGAUCCAAUAUCUAUCAAAGUGAAGUACUGAACAUAAUUAACUAUAAAAUUACUUGCUAUGACAUUAGUUGCAUCAUGAUCCUCUCUGCGUCUGACCGCAUAGACAAGGGCAGGUUGCCUAGCAUCAAUCCAAUUUGCACUAUUCUGACCCUAACCUCUCUAAGGUUAUUGCCUAGCCUUCUGAUUCUAAACCCUAUUUUACACUGAAUAUUGUAUCUGAUCAUUAUGUUGCAAACAAUCAUUAAUCUUAUGCUCUAUGGACCCGCACCUUAAACAAGCAUCCAUCUUUCUCUAACAAUCACUAGAGUGUUGUUUACCACAAUAAGCACAAUUCGGAGUCUUGCCUUUGGUACCAACUACCACAUUACUCUACCGAGGUCUAUCGUCUCUAACUCACUUAAUGGGUCACGAUGCCGUGAUAGUGGGACCAACAUCCCUUUUAAUAUGAGCCUUAGCCUUUUUUCUCCUUUCACGCUUCACACGCUUAACUUUCUAAAUAAUCUUGGUUUUCUCUACCAAAGUUUUCAAAGCCCUCUCUUACUGUGCAGUGACUUGCAUCAUCAGAUCAUACCACAACCUAUUUUCAAAUCUAACACACCUAUCCUACUCAUUCGUAACUAUCCCCUAAGCAUAUUGGGUGAGUCCCAAGAAUUUGGCCCCAUUCUCAACCACUAACAGAUCCUAUUGCUUUAGUUCAAUGAAUUCAAGCUUGCGAGCCUCCAUAUAUCUGGUGCCCACAUAUUUCUUCUGGAAAGACUCUUGGAAGUAAUCCCAAGUCAAUCUCUUCGCUUGCAUACCCCUCAUAACGGACUGCCAGCAUUGGUAAGCCUUGUCUCUUAGAAAUGAUACCGUACCCUUCAAUUUCUACUUAGGGGUACAAUCCAUGUUAUCCAAGAUUCUUUUCGUAGCCUCCAUCCAAUAUUCAACUACGGUAGGGGUCGUCCCAAUAAUGUCCCUAAAUAGCUCAGCUCCAUUGGAUCAAAGCCGUGUGAUCACACACGCUCGUGUGGCUCCGACACGCCUGUGUCCUCAACUCGUGUAACUCUCUGUUUAUGACAUCAGCAAUGAAAUGGGGUCACAUGGCCAAGUCACACGCUUGUGUGCUAAGGUCGUGUCCCCCACACGGUUGAGACACACGGUCGUGUCCUUGCCCGUAUGGCCAACACUUAGGCUAUUUUUCAAGCCUUGGUCAACCAUAAACCCUCACACAUUUAUACAACAUCAAAGACAUAUAACAUGGCAUCCAUUCAAUGAUUAAACAUCUUCAAUUAAGCCACAAACAUAGCAUUUGCAUGUCAUCAUACUUGUAUUUCUCAUACUCAUUUUAUAACAAGUCUGGACAUACUAAACCAUAUUCAUUUGACUGGACAUACUAAACCAUAUUCAUUUGACCUUGUCAUUUUUAUUACCACUUAUACAUUUAUACCAUGGUUAUCUUCAUGUUAAUAUUCUCAACUUAAUCAUCUAGCAUUUGUAGUCAUGUCUAAUUCAUAUCCUUACUGUUACAUAUCACACACUCACAUUAACAUGUUUCUUUAAGGCAUUCCACACCAAUUUCAUUCUUCAUCAACAUCACUAACUUACUCUAAAUUUACACUUUCAUACUAAGAAUAUGGUCACAUCUAUUGAUCAAAGUUCAUCCAUCAAAUAUGCAUGCCAUAUCAUACAUCCAUCGAUAACAAGCCAUCACACAUGCGCAUCAUCAAGACAUUAGAACAGCCAUGCAAAAUCAAUUAAGUUUACAACCCAAUGAUCAAAUGUAAGCGAUAUCUCAUGGCUCUAUACAAAUGAAUUAUUAUAAGCCAACUCAAUUGGACAAAUUAUGAAACACAUAUCAUAAAGUACAAAUGCCACUCACUUGAAAACACUUAAGAUUUAUUAAUACCCCGGCUUGAUAAUUUGAUAGUGUGAUGUUGCCUCUACGAUCUCCAACCUUGAGCUAAACUGACAACACUAAAAGAAAUGGAAAGGAGAAGGGUAAGCUUUAUAGCUUAGUAAGCUCGUACGAAAAUGAUAAUAAGCAAUUUAUUAACGUGCUUUUUCCAAAUUCUUACAACAUGUUCUCAUGGUAACACAAUCGAAACUACACAUAAUUCCACUAUUUGCUCAUAUUCCAGUCAAGUUCUCUACUUGAGUCAUAGUCACUAAAUUACUUAUAACUUGAGUUAAAAAACUCUAAAUUAAGAUCUGCUAAUUUUUCCUAAAAUUAGAGACAUAUCUUCUUACCAUAAAAUUUAUAGAAUUUUUGGUCUAGCCAAUAAGUAAAUUUUAUUCUUCAAAGUUACCCCUGUUCUGUUGUUUAACAACUUCGACCUUUCUUUACUAAAAUUUAUUUAUCUCUUAGAACAGGAUCCGGAUGAUGUUCCCAUCUAUUUAUCUUGAAAAUAGACUCAUUAAGGAUUUAUUCAUACAAAUUCUAGCCAAUAAUUAUUCUUGUACAAUUUUUUGCUGAUUUUCCAAAGUUAAGACAGGGGAGCACGAAAUCACUCUAACCCUGUCUCACAAAAAUUCAAAUAUCUCAAAAUAUGAAAUUCUUUUGCUUACACUGUUUCCUCAAUGUGAAACUAGACUCAAUAAACUUUAAUUUCAUAAAUUAUUCAAUUUCUAAUUCAAUUUUCAUAAUUUUUGGUGAAUUUUUCAAAGUCACGCAACUGUUGCAGUCCAAAACUAUUUUAGUGCAAUAUCAUGAUAACUAUCAUAUGAUGGCAUAAUAAACAUAAUCAUAAACAUAAUCAUAAACAUAAGUUUAUUCAUCAUUCAAAACCUUUGACUUACUUAUCACCCAUAUACCUCUUUAUUAUGAAACAUCAUUUAUUAAGGCAUUAGUGGUAAGUUUAGUGUACAUACCUGUACCAACUCGUAAUACAACAUAUAAUCAUAAAUUCCUUAGGACUUUCGUCCAAUCAUCCAUUAUGUUACCCGUUGAACACUCAGAAUACUAUUGGAUACGCGGAAAAUUUACACAUAGUGCAUCAAAUGUAGCCACAUGCUACCUCAUAUCACAAUCACAUAUUGCUUGCUCACGAGCAAAUCACGGGUUUGCUCAUACAAGUUGACAGUUAGGAUGUAACUACUCGGGCUACUCACACAAGCUGACAGGUACCCGCAACACAUGCCAGGCUACCUAGCCACCGGUAGGACGUACAAGACCAGCACCCGGAUUCACAUAUCACAUAUACACACAUACACACAUAUUCAUGAGUUCAUAUCCAUAUAGUUCCUAGUGACAUGUCACAUUGUAUCCUAAGCUAUUCCUAAGAUUCAAAUGGGAUUUUUCGAUACCACAUCUCUGUCGAACUUACUCGAAGUGUCGAUCUCACUAUCCAUAGUACCAAUUGCCCAUUCAUAGCAUAAUAAGGCAUAACUCAAAUAGAAAAUAAGAUUUUAAGAAUUUACAUAACAUAUAUCACAUAUUUCAUAUAUCACUUGUCAUGUAUCAUCAUUUCCUUGCAUUUCAUAUAAUAUUCUUCCAUGUCAUAUUUCCACAUCACAUACACCAUUCCAUCAACUUUUCCAAUAUAUUAAAUCAUACAAUAUAUGCAAUAAUAGUAAGGAAUAUAAUUCAAACAUAACAUUACAUUAUUAUUAUCAUACGAACUUACCUCGAAUCCGAGCACAGCUUAUUAUUCCAUUUUAAUCCAUAAUCUCGUACUUUCACGAUUUAAGCCCGAAUCUCGAUUUUCUUGAUCUAAUAUUUCAAAUAUAGCUUAUUUAUUACUCACAUUAUUAAAAUUGACCCAAAAUUCUUAUUUUUAUAAAAUUUCAUUCUUACCCCUAAAUUUUUACAUAUUUACAAUUUAGCCCCUAGGCUCGUAAAAUGAUUUUCAUUCAAUUUCUUUGUACUUAAGCCUAGCCGAACAAAUUUCAUAACUACAUCAGCCCUUAAUUUCCACUAAUUCACACAUUUUAUGAAAAAUUUUAUAACUUUUACAAUUUAGUCCUUUUAUGCAUUUUUACCUAAAAUCACUUAGUAAAAGUCGUUUCUCUAACCAUAAACUUGUAUAAUCUACCAUUAAACAUCAAAACACAUGCAUAUCACUCAUGGGUAAAUGUUUUAAACAUCAACCCUAGCUCACAUAAAUGGUAGAAAUAGCUAGAUCUUGUUACGAGGAUUUCAAAAAAGUAAAAAUCAAAGAGCUUGGAAAGCUUGAACAAAACCCUAGCCAUGACUUCCAUGCAAAAUUCAGCCAAAGGUUGAAGAUGAGCAUAAAUUUGGCUUUUAUUUUCCCUUUUUUAUUAUUUUAAUUACCAAAUGACCAAAAUACCCCUAACUUAAAAAUAUUCUAUUUCACAUAUUUCAUACUUAUUUUUGUCCAAAAAAUUAACCAAUGGUCUAAUCACCAUAUAAGGACCUCUAAUUUAAAAUUUCAUAGGAAUUAGAUGCCUCUAGCUUCUAGAACUUAAGUUUUGCACUUUUUUAUAGUUUAGUUCUUUUGACCAAAUUGAGUGCCCAAACGUCAAAAUUUUCGAACGAAAUUUUCACGAAAUCAUUCUGUGAAUUUGUAUACCAUAAAAUAUAAUAAAAAUAAAUUUUCUUAUGUCGAAUUUUUGGUCCCGAAACCACUGUUCCGACUAGGCCCAAAAUCAGACUGUUACAAACCUUGAGUGAUUUCAGUCUAAUAGUUCAACUACAACUUAUAGUCUAUAGUUUUUCUAUAGUUAGUAAUAAGAGUACUUAUCUAAUAUCGGCGUCGAAGUCUUGGAUUUUUUCUGUAAAAAAAACUUUAUAAAAUUUAUUUGUGACAUGGUUCCCAAAAUAUCCCUUAAAACAUGCAUGCAAAUUUUGAAUAAAAACCACAGUCUGAGUUUUGAAUAAGGCUAUGAUACCACUAAAUGUAACCUUUCAAACCUAGCCUAUAUGUUAUGGCCGAAUUUUGAAGACUACAUUGGCCACCGGAAUGGUACAGAAAAACUUUUGAAUUUUAAAUCAUAAUUUAAAACCAUUUGACUUUUUAUUCAAAACUAGUGAACUUGGUUAUUUGCCUUUGUUUUGAGAAAUCAUGUUAUUUUCAAAAUCAAGCGUCUUUAAAACUUCAUUUGUAAAGAUUAAUUAUUUCAAAAGAAAAAACUAAGUUGGAUUUUAUUAAAAACUCAUUUUCAAUAUUGCUGCGAAAAUUAGUGUUAAAAUCAUAUUUUCAUUAAAAACCAAUUUUUCAUGUAUAAUUAUUAAAAUAUCGAAUAAGCAGUUUAAAACUUUAAGUCAUUCAAAUCAAAAUAAAAAUCUCCCAAAAAAUAAAGUCACAUGUUAUAGUCCAUAAAGAAAAACAUAGCAGUUCCAAAAUAAUCAUUAAAAUAAAGUUUAAAGUACUUAAAGUUAAAAUCAUUUAAGAAGCUCCUUCGAUAGGCUCAUCCAAGUCCUUACCUCGGGGGUUAUCUGUAAAAUUGGUAAACUAAGUAGUGAGCUAAUAAGUGAGAAGGUUUGGGUAAAAAUAUAAGCCCAAAAAAUGGGCUAGGCAAAAAAAAGAGGCCCGUUUAGAAAAUGAGCUGAGUUUUAGGUAAGGCUUUUUUGGCCUGAGCCCAGCCCGACUCGAAUAUGCAAAAAAAGUUUGUUGUUUUUUUUACUAUUUUCUUACUUUUUUAAUAUUUUGUUGAUAUUUUUUUUGUUUUCUUUCACUAUUUUGCUACCAAUUCACUAUUAUGUUGAUAUUAUUUGUUAUUAUUGUUUGGAUAUAGUAUAAGUUGUGUUUUAUUGUUAAUUUUGUUACUAUUUUAGAGGUAUUUUCUUGUUAAGUUGCACUUAUCUUAGUAUUAUUUAAGUAUACAUAUUACUUUUUUAAAUUUCUUUUCAAUUUGUUGGGAAACUUUUAUUUUUAAUGAUUUUAGUAUUUUUGAUGUAUUAUAUUUUUUAAAAAAAUUAUAUAAAAAAUUAAUACAGCCGAUGGCCUAGGUUUAAGCAUUUAUAUUCAGACCGGGCUAAGCUGGGCCCAAUCCCGACCCAACCCAUGGACACCUCUACACUUAAGCUAGUAACUAUACAGAAUAUUACGAACAGUAUAGAAUUACAUAGUUUAUGCAAUGCAUGAACAUGUUAAUGCAGUGUUUUAAAAAAAAUGUCCCACCCAACUUCGCUACACAUCAUAAUAAGAGUUCCUCACAACUCAUCCAGCCAAUAACACACCAGUUUGUGGACAAGCCACCAGUAAUGCAGAAAAACUGCUAGAAUUGUGUACAAGCCACUAGUAUUGUAGACGAGCUACCAGUAAUGUGAACAAGCCACCAAAAAUACAGAUAAACUGCACUAUUAUGGACAAGCCAUCAGAAUUGUAGACAACCUGUCAGUACUUCCUCUUUACAAACUUAUCUCGACCCCAAUGCAAUAUAACAUGUUUUAAAUGAUACAAAGUAAUACAAUAAGCAUGACUAAAACAUGCAAUCAGUAGCAGAAUCAGUAGGCAUGAUUUAGACAUGCAGUCAAUAAUAGAAAUAGUGGCUUGAAAUAUCAUGCACUCGGUAAAAUGAUACAAUGGGCGGAUUUAAUGAUGCUUUUAGUGUUAACAAUACCAUAAACCAUAUUUUUAACAUGUAACUAACAUUUUAGUAAUAAGAUACAUGAUCUGUCAUGUAAUCAGUCUCUAUCAAAUCAGUAUCAUGUUUUAAUAUCACAUAUUAUAUGAAAUAUGACCAAGUCAUACAAUAACGCACGAACACAUAUGGCAUCACAGAUUCAUCAGAUCUGAGGUACUUACUUGAAUUCAACCCUAAUAAAUAAUUUUAUCAAUCACUAAGAAUACUUAGUGUAUUUUCUUAGUCAAUAUUUUAGAGCAAAUUUAAACAGUUACUUAUAGUAAUCAAUAAUUACAUGAACUUUAUGAGCGAAUCAUACACUACAUCAAUAGGUUAAAACCCACACUUGAAUUAUAGGUGUCGUGACACUAGAUCAAAUUUUCCUCACUUCAACGAUACGGUUCUAAUCAAAUCUCGCUUGAUUUGAUCAAGGAAUGAUAGUAUGACAACAAUGGUACACACAUUAGUUUUGGUUUUAGUCCAAAAUAGUUCUCUUAUGAAAUUGUUUUGAGGAACUUACUCUAUUAAUCAUCAACAAAUAUCUAAGAACUUCCUUUGCACUAAGGCAAAUCCAAGUGAUAUGGAUUGGAUCCUUCACGUAAAUAUGCUACACAAAUAUUACUAAUAAAUUCGGCUCAUAUAUUAAAAAAAUUUGAGAUUGAUGAACAUAUCUUUAGUUACUCCAUAUUAGGUUAAAUCGAAGACUACAAUUUAAUUGGAGAAUUUUGCAAAAAUGAUGAAGGAGGUGCGGCUAGGGAGAAAUCAAAAUAAGUAAUAGUGAGUAAGAUUAUUAUUUAAUAAAUUGAAAAGAAUAUAGAAAUGAGUUAUAAUAUUUUGGUUACGACAAAGAAAUGAAAAGAGGAGGAAAAAUGAAAAAACGAGCAGUGGCAACGAUAGUGGAGGUCCAACGUUAGAGUAAAGAAAGAGAAGAGACAAUGGUGAUAUGGUGGUUAGUUGGUGGUGCGGUGAUGGAUAACAGUGGUGGAAAUGGUGCAAAAGAAAAAAGUGGUGGCAUAAAAGGAGGAGGAAAGAAAAAUAUAAGAAGAGAGGGAAAAGAAAAUGAAAACAAACAAUUAUUUUUUUUUACUUACCAAGGACGACAUACAAUGGCCAAAUGGGGAGAAAGAUGGCAAUGAGUGAAACUAUGGGAAGCAAAUGAAAGGAGGGGGAACAAGAGGAGUGAAAAGGGGAAUAAGAAAGGAAUUAGGAUAAAGAUAAGGGAAGAAAGAAUCUCCCUUGCAUGGAAACAAAUAUGGGCGACAAAGGGGCGUUUACCAAGAUGGUAAAUGUUUGUUUUGAAACUACACUAGUUCUUAACCAAUAGGCCAAAACACAUUCUUACUCAAGAAUUAACGAUAACUAAAUUUAAAUGGGGUGUGAUAGAAUUGAUAUAGAUACCAUUCUAAUACUAGAUUUAUUUAUCUUACUAAAAAUCUCAUCCAACACUCUAGAACUAAACAUAUUGAAAUUGGAUAUCAUUUCAUUAGAGAUCAUGUCCAAAUAGGAGAUGUAGUUCUAGAAUCUAUUGACACUUUGCACCAACUAGCGAUAUUUUUACUAAAUCAUUAGAUAAGAAAAGAUUUUGGACACUUAGGAAAGAAUCAAGUAUUACUACCUUACUUUUAUUUUGUGUUAGAAUGAUUUUGUGCACUUUGAUGUUUUCAAAAUGUUUUAUGACUUAAAAUUGAUUGAAAAAACAUGAACCUAUUGAAUGUGUUUGAAUAGGCUUUUCUUAGUUGAUAUAAUUAAUUUUUGAUACACUUAUAGUGUUUUAUUAUUCAUAUGCGUAAUACUUAAAUUUUACAUUUUAAGCAUAUGAAAUCAUUAUAAUUUGCUAAGAAGUCAUUUUAGGAUAGUUUAGGAUGUAUUAGGACAUAGAAAUUGAGUUUGGACAAAUUUUCACACCUUGUAAAAUAGAAUGGGAAUUUGGUAUCGAUACUGAUACAAAAAUAUCGAUACCUAUCAGGUUUUAAAGAUUUAUGCACCGUGCUUUUGCAAAAUCAGUUUUAUUUUACCCAUAACUUUUUCUCUACCAUUUUUAAACCUUUCAAACCCUAACUCUCAAAACCAUCAAAUCUUCCACUUUUUUUUUCAAAAUCUUCACUCAAAACAACCUACAUUAUUAUUUUAAAACCAUGCUUAGGUAAAAAUCUCAUUUGUUUUAUUUCAAAUUUUACUCAAAUUUUUUGUUAAAUUCAUGGUUGAAUCUUGUUAUUAGGAUGAUAUGCAAAAUAUUUGUACUGUUGUUGUGAUUCAGGAGGUUUCCUAAAACCAAUCAAAACUCUUGCCCACCAAUUGUUCAACAAAAUUCCCCAACCAUAUUUUUAAGUCAUUUAGUGAGUCCAUUGCAUCUAUUUAGCUAGUGUGCCUUUAAAGAAACGUCCUCGAAUUGAUAAUGAUUGUUUUAAAAACUUUGAUGGAUGUUAUUGUUUUAACACUUAUUUUCUGCUUGCAAUGCAAAUGUUUCUUGGCCACUCGAUUUUGAUUCUUUAACCGGUUUUAAUUUUUCCUAUCUUCCUACUUUGGCUGAAUGGCAUUGGGUUGAUUUUUGCAAAAUCCGCUCUCAAACCCAUGCCAAUCUUGUUCGAGCAUCCUAUUUGAGUGCCUUGCUCAGACAUGAUGAAAUGAGUGAGACUGUUGUUGCUAUCAAUUCUUCUUUAAUGAAUACUCUUAUACGUCUCAUAGUAGAAAAUUUUAGAGAUUUUUUAAAACUUUUGCUCGGUGGGAUUUCAAAUGAGAAAGGCCCUUAUAAUUCAACCUUGACCAUUCCAAGCUUGAACGCAUCCGAGCACAAUACCAUUUUUUACAUUUAAUUCUUACAUGGAUAUUAUGUUUGAUUUCUAAACAUGCUAUUAUUUAAUCCAUUGAUUAUUGGUGGAUUGAUUAUUUUCAAAACAAUAGGCAUAUCAACUUCACACUUAUCAUGUUUAAUGACAUUACUAAGGACAUUGAUAAGGAACUUACCAACACCCUUACUUUGCCAUUUGGAAUGUAUCUUUCUUACAUUUUUAAAUGUUUAAAAAUCCCAACCUGAGGUGACCCUCCUUUGGCCUCGUCUACUCCUCUUGACUUUGGUGCCCUUCAUCAUGCUAGAUAUAAGAAGGAUUCACACACUAGCAAAUGAGUCAAGAAUGUCUAACUAGCAACUCAUGAAGAUGAAGAUGUUGAGGGAAGUCACAAUGAAGAUGUUGAGGGAGUUCAUGAUGAGGUUCCUCCUCCUCCCGAGCAUGUUCUUCCUCCACCUACUCAUUUGGUUGGUUUUUCAUAAGUUGCUCAUUUUUUCGUCGAGACCACCACUAUAUUUGGCACCAUUAAUUCUUUGGGCAAUGAAUUUUGAGGUUUUUGAGUUGAGGUUAACGAUGAAUUUCAUAGUUUGGGCUCUAAGAUGUCUUCAUUGGAGGAUCAAAUGGCUUAAUUUAUGGUUAAUUAUCCUCCAUUGUUGCCUUUUCCUCAAGAAGAUUAGACUAGCAUUUUCAUUCUCAUACAUCUUUUAUUUGCAUCAUUAGUUUAGUCUAACUUUGUUUCCUAUUACUAUGAAUGACUACACUUAAUGUUUAUCUAGUAUGUUUUGAAGUUUUUGUUUCACAUCUUAAUUCCAAUUUUUCUCAAUUGUUUCCUUUUAUUAAACUAACAAUAUCUCCCUCUUAAGCUUUACUUGUUGCUUUUUUAUAAAAAUGGGGAGGGGGGAGAGAAAAGUAAAUUUUGGUGAAUGAUUGAUUAUUUGUGCUUAUUCCAAAUUACAAAUUUAGUGACUAAGUUUUCGAAAUGUCUUUAAAUAAAAAUGAAUGACCAAUUUAUAAAUGAAUGCCAAAUUUUGAUAAUGAACGACAAAUUUCUCUAAGCCUUAAAUUGGAAAUUAUUUUUAGAAAGAGGAGCAAACUUAUUCAAAACUAAAUUUACCAAAAUGUUUUGUUAUAUCAAAAAAGGGAGAGAUUGUUGAACCAAACUUUACUUGGAAAAUGAUUUUGAUAUAACAAAUACUAUGUUUUGAACAAAAAUUAUUUUAAACAAAACGUGGCAAAAAUAUCAUUUCAAAUGAUAUUUAAAAAGAAAAAUUGUUGGGUUCAUACUUAGAAAAUAUUUUAAGGCCAAGUUAGUUAAACAAUUUUUCAAAAUUGGCAUUCUGACUUCCAAAGGAUUUAUUAAGUAUCGAUAUGGUAUCGAUACAUUAUAUUUGGUAUCGAUAAAAUUCCCCUUAUAUCAAUAUUGAUGGCUACAAUUAUCACUAAAUUAGGUGUUGAAUGCUUAUAGGACCGGUACUUGUAGAAAAAGUAUUGAUACCUGUUGUUGCAAGUGACAUUAAUGCAUUGAUAUUUUUAUCCCAAACGACUCUAUUCAAUAUUCCAACAACCACAACGGUUGGAAAUCAAUUAAAGGGUAUAAAUAUCAACCUCCAAAGGGUCUACAAUAAUAAGAGAGAUUAUCCAAGCAAAAGUUUCAACCAAUCAACCUAUGUGCUUAAAGUUUUCAUGAUUUUCUUGUACACACUUGUGAGCUUCCAUUGUUUUUUUAUUCAGCUCAAGUGUUUUAUUAUUUCAUUUGUGCUAAAUUGGCAAACAAUUCAAUCUUUUAAGGAUUAAUUCUUAGUUUGCUUAUUUGUAACACUCUUUAAGAGGGUUUUAUCUUAAGGUUUGGGUAGAAACCUUAAGGGAAUUAUAAGGUUAAACCUUAUCCUCAAAGGUUAGUCAAAUUAGUGAAUUUGGAAGAAUCAUUGGUAGUGAAAAGUUAAGGUAGUGGAGUAGGCAAUUGGGGUUGAACCACUCUAAAUAAUUGUGUUCGCUUGUUCUAAUUUUUUUCAACCUUCCACAAUUUUUUAAAAGCCAAUUCACCCCCUCUUUUGGUGAUUUCGGAUUGAUUAUUCAAGCUAACACAUUACUAUAGUGGAAUGACUUCGUGACUAAAUGCGUUUAUAAUUAAUAGACGAAAAGCUGGAACUUAAUUAUAAAUGAUUUGAGCCCUAAUUGCAUAUGUCCAAUCGGUGCCUCCGCUAGCACGUUGAAACCUGAAAUGAAUUGCAUAUUGAAUCAAAUGAACAGAAAUGAUAAAGUUGGAGAAAUGGGAAAUAUUUGGAAAUUAAUGUGGGUUUCUCUAAAUGAAAAUGACUUGAAUAAUUAAUUUAUGGUUUUUUGAAUUAUUAUUUAAUUGAUUGAUUAAAUAAUUGAAUUUUUGAAAAUAAAAAUAAAUUAAUUAAUCAUAGUGAAUUCGUUGAAUGUAGAAAUAUUAAAUAUAUUUUCUUAUAGAUUCUUUUACGGUAAAAUCGUCAUGAUUUUAACAUAAUUAGAAUUGAGUUGAAAAAAUUAUUUAAUUGAGAAUUAAUUAAUUAAUUAAUUAAUUUAAAAUGUUUAUUUAAGGAAAUAGAAAAAUAAGUAUCGGGUUAGAUUGAAUUAUAAAGUAUUGGGUUAAAAGUUUAGGAAGUAUUUGUAAGUGGACCCAAUAAAGGAGAGACUAAAAAACCUCCCAUGAUUAAUACAGGAGGCGACAAACCCUAGUUUAUUUAGCUAGGGUUGUCGCCCCACCUAAUCCUAGUUAGACUAGGAGUUCAUUUUAAAUUGAAAUAGACUUCUAUUGUUCAAUAAGAAUUUCAUCUCUUCUCCCUAUAAAAAGAUGGAACUAGUAGUGCUAAAUAUACAAUUUUGAGAUAUUGUUAUUUUGCUCGAAAAUAGUGAUAAUUUAUUUUCUAAGUAUACAAUCUAUAUUUUGAAAUAACAAUUCCAUCGGUUUUAUUAAAGAGAGAUUUGUUUUCCCAUUGAAAAUAAAGUAAAUAAUUUUUGGUUCUGUGUGUGAUUCAAAUUUGUUCGAGCCCACACUCGAAGUGGUUCAUGGUACGAGAAUAGCAGAGAAGGUUGUUUAGUUGAAAGCCGGGAACGAAAAGGAUCUAUCUAGUCAAAAACACAUGUGUGAUUUCAAUAAAAGGUGUAUUGCUAUAAAUAUCAUAAACCGGCUCAGUUUUCAAAAUUUUAAUUUCCCGCUACAUAAGAAAAUUGUUUUUGAAUCAUUUUUUUCCAAUACAAAAAUUGAAUGCAGAGUAAAAUUAACAGUUUGGGGGUUUGAAUGUUGUUAUAAGUAGGUAAAGAAAUUUUUAUAAAAGUUGUUUUGCAAUUCAUUCCGACCUAUUCUAUGUCUUAUUUUUUGUUGCCAAAAACUCUUUGCGAGGAAUUGGAAAACAUAAUGAGUAAAUUUUGGUGGCAAAAGUCCCAUAAUAGGAAAGGUUUGCAUUUUUGUAAAUGGGCUGAUAUGUGCUAUUUGGAGGAUGGAGGGUUGGGGUUUCACAAUUUAGCGAAAUUUAACAUAGUAUUGCUUGCGAAACAGGGUUCGCGUCUUGUUCAUAACCCAUAUUCAUUAGUUGCAUGCAUACUCAAAGCAAAAUGCUACCCAAACUCGGUACUUUGCCAUACAUAGGAAGGGUACGAGAUGGAAUGUUGGCUCGGGGAGAAGCAUAUCCAUUUGGAACAAUAAAUGGCUUCCAAGAUUUGCGGGAUACAAAAUAAAUGAAACUACGGUUAAUAACAUAAUUGAAUAUGUAGCAGAUCUUAUCGACCACACACACAAAAUGGAAUGAGGAACUGGUAAAAGGAAUUUUUAAGCUAUCAUAAGCAAAGGCCAUUCUGUACUUGCCACUGUCCAACAAUACCCAGGAAGAUUUCCUCAUCUGGCAAGAAGAGAACGCCGACUACUAUUUUGGUUUCAAAUCGUAUGGAAACUAAUCAAAACAGGGAACAAAAGGAAAUUUACAACAAACUCUGGAGGCUACAAGUUCCCCCAAAAUUAAAGAUAGAAAAUUGGCGUUUUAUUCUAAACUAUGUUCCUACAUAUGCUAAUCUUCAUAAUAAGCGUAUUGUGAAUUCUUCAAUCCGUCUCAGGUGUCGAAGGCUAUAGCCUCUUGUGGUCCUGCAAAAGAGGUUUGGGGUUUGUUCUCAAUUACUUGGCCAACAAAUUUACAAUUUAACCGUGCAUUGCACGAGAAAGAACUAAUUAUAUAUAUAUAAGCAAUGUUUAAAUAUAAUUGAUAAUAAAUAUUUAAUAACAGAAUAAAUAAGAAAUGGAAAAAAUAUUUUUAUAUUUAAAGAAUGCUGCUUUUAAUAUACUUAUGAAAAUAUUUGAAGUUUAAUUUAUUAAUUAUAUUUAAUAGUAAUUAUAAGAAAAACUAAUAAAAUAUUUAUAUAUUUUAAUUUUAUCAAAAUUUAUUUAAAUUUUAUUAUUAGACUUUUUAGUUAAUGUGUAAUAAUUUCAUUAUAUAUUUAUUUUUUUGUCUAUUUCAUGAUAUUAUUUUAUUCAAUCAAACAUUAUAAUACUAAUGUCGAUCUAAUACAUUUAACAAGAUCUAAUACAUUUAACAAGUAAGACUAUGUCAUACCAUUAUAUUCUGAUUCUAUUCUCUUUCAAUACCUAUAUUUGGAUAAUGUUUUUUUAUUUAAGCAAAGGAAAGUAAAAAAAAAAAGGUUGAAUAUCCUUUACUUUCCUUUGAAUUACUUUGGUUUUUUUUUUCUUCACUUCAAUGUGAGAGAAAAGAUGGGAAAGGAAAAUAAUAUUUCCUUUAAAAUAUGAAAUAUAAUUUUUAUCCUACCAAUCUUUUACAUAAAUUAUUCUAUAAAAAAGGAUAUGUUUAGAAAAAUAAUAAUUAUAACCCAUCUUUUACUUCUUUUUUUUCUUUACAGUGUGUUAUUUGAUAAAUUAAAAAAAUAAACAUAACAAAAUUAAGUAUUGAAUUUAAAUUAUAAAAUUAUUUAAUAUAUUAAUUAAAAUUUUACUGAAUAUAAUUAAAUAUUUUUUAAAUAUAAAUUAUAAAAAAUAUAGUCUACAGUUUUUAUAGAAAAAUUCUAUCAAAUAUAAAUAAGAUUGAAAAUAUUUAAUUUUUUGAAUGAUGUAUCAACCAACAUCCAAAUAAAGCUUGGUAAAAUUUUCUUUAUUAAUUUUAAUUAUAAAAAAUAAGUAUAUAUACAUAUAUCAUUUCCUUUCAUUAACCUUACUUUCUUCUUUCCUUUAUUAUUAUUUUUUUAAAUGAACCAGAUCCAACUGAAAAUUAAAAAUUUUGGAGCCCUUAAUUUAUAUAAAAACACCAUAAAUAUAAGGAAACAAUGGUGGAAAUUUGAAAAGCUUGAAGGGCAGACGCAAUUUCCAAUUUCAGAUCUGGAAAUCAACCCAAAUUGGAAUUGGGUGUUUUGGAUAAGAUCGACUGUGUACAAACACACUACCGUUAUUUUAAUAUAUUUUGUCAGCGAAACUGAAAGAAUAAAAAUAAAUUUAUUUAUUUAUUUAUUUAUUAAAUUCAAUUAUAGUUAAGUUCCAUUUGGUGAAUUGUCUGUAGCGCAAUCCUAGGUGUCUGAAAAUAUGUGUAUUAAACAGUUUGGAGAGUGGCUUUGCGGAAUCUCGUAGUUGGGUUUAUCUUUUUACUCACUCUGUUGGCUAAGCUGCUUUUCUAGGGUUCAUUUAUCUUUCGCCUCCCUCUCUUUUCUUUUUUCAAUCCCCUCCUUCUUUCAGGUCUCUUCUAAUCUAUCUUUUCUUUUUAUGUUUUGGCUUUCAAUUUCAAUUUGACUGCUUUUUUAUUUUUAUUUUUGGUACUGUUGAGUUCCUUUUCCAUGGUGGAUCUUCCUUUGUUUCAGCUGAGAUAUCCUUGUUUUUCAUUUACAACUUAGAGGCAAAGCUCAAGUAACUUGAUUAAAUCUUCUUUACUCUUUGGACUGAUAUUCAAGAAUCUUUAUUGUUUAAAAAAACAAUUUGAUUAUUUUGUUAUGUAACAUCCACAGUCACUGCUUGGUUUUUAACUGAUCAAUUGUAAUAGGUAAAAUGCAACGGGCAGUUCGAGCUUUUUCGGUGCACGGAAAUACUGUGAAAAAUGCGAUCUUGCAUCGCAUUCGGGUUGUCAAUCCGGUUAUACGACCCGUUAUGUUUUCCAGAUCACUUACAUCUGCUAGUAUGGAAGAACAUGGCUUCGAGAGCACCACUAUUUCAGACGUUUUGAAAGCCAAAGGCAAAGGUGCAGAUGGAUCCUGGCUUUGGUGCACUACGGAUGACUCUGUGUACGAUGCUGUGAAAUCGGUAGGCAUCUUUUCCAUUUCCAUAGAUUCUCAACCUUUUUUUAGAAUACUUGAUUUGCCUGCUUAUUUACCUCCUAUCUGUUUCAGAUGACUCAACACAAUGUUGGUGCUCUGGUGGUUGUUAAACCUGGAGAGCAGAAAUCAAUUGCGGGUAUCAUCACAGAGAGAGGUACUUAGCAUGCACCGGGACUAGAAAUUUUCAAUGAAUCAAGGGUUUAGUAUUCUUUGUAUAAUCUACUGGGAUUUACAACAUUCGCAAUCUACUCAUUUAUGUUGUUCAGACUUAUAUAUUUUCCUUGAGCUACUUGUGUCUGUUGAUAUACAUGUCUGACCCAUAUUCGUAUAUGGGUACGGGGAUAUGAUCCUUCAUGAAAAAUUCAUUGGAAACAUACUCGUAUCUGACACUAACACCUGAGCCAAGUAACAUAGCAAACUAUGCUAGGACUUUUUAUAUUAUUUGUCCUAUAAUACUAUUAGUUGGAGACAUUAGACAAAACUAAACCCUAUAUAGGCUAAAGCAUGCUGAUAGUUGCCUUGUUCCUUCUUAAUGUCACCCUUGUUCUAUCUGUUUCUUACUCCACCUUUGCCAUUGAAUGCAAUUAUUACCAUUAUUUGGUCUGGAUUCUUCCUUCAGCUCUUUGUCAUGUCAAUGAAUCACAUACUGCCCCUUUUUCUUGAGUAUUGCACAUACCAAAUUUAUAAACCUCAUAACAGUCUUUUGGCUUGGCUAAGACUAUAGUUUGCUUCAUUUUGCCUUUCUCAGCUAUCAAGAGGAAGAGAUCUUGAAGGAUUUUGUGGACUGGUACGAUUUUGAUAAGUUAAUUUUUGCUAUUUGAUGUUUUACUUUCAGAUUAUCUUAGGAAGAUAAUAGUACAUGGAAGAUCAUCCAAGUCAACUAAAGUUGGGGACAUCAUGACUGAAGAGGUAUUGUUUUUGCUUUUAUUCGAGUAAAUUUAUAGGUUUACUUCUAUCAUAUAUGGUCGAUUGUUUAGAUGUACACUUAUACCAAUUCUAAGAUUUUAUUAAAUGAUGGUUGUAGAACAAGCUCAUCACGGUCACACCUGAGACCAAAGUUCUGCAAGCAAUGCAAUUGAUGACAGGUAAUAUGAUCUACUGCCAUCUACGACAUCCGUUUUUGGUGUUCACUGGGCUGUUCAUUGUCAAGCUAGUAGUAACCUAUGUAAUUUUUACAGAUAACCGAAUCAGACACAUUCCAGUGAUCAAUGAGAAGGAAAUGGUAGGCAUGGUUUCCAUUGGAGAUGUGGUUCGUGCUGUGGUGAGCGAGCACCGUGCAGAGCUGGACCGCUUGAAUGCUUACAUACAGGGAGGUUACUAGAUGAUGAUGAUGAUGAUGAUGAUGAUGGAAUAUAGUGUAUGUUUCACUUGUUGGACUUAAGCAAGCAAGCAAGGGGAGAGCUUGCAAAUAUGCUAUGUUUUCGUGGUUUUUCUGUGAAGAUGCAAGUGAUGUUGGAAUAAUUACCAUGUGGACUAAGUGUUUGACAAUAAUCAUUCUCAUUUUGCUUCCUUCCUAUUUGACUAGGAAAGUGGCAAAAGCAACCUUGGAUCAGUUUGAUUUCUGUUUUUCUAAUUCUUGAACGCAUUAACUCGGCGAGUCACGAUUGAGCCCUUUGCAUAGGUAUCAACUAAAAAAUAAAUUAAUUAAAAUCUGGAUAUGCUUUCAACAUUUUUAUUCCUACUAAUAAAAAAAAGAAGCUUUUUUUCUUAAAAUUUUAUUCAGAAAUUGAGAAGUAAUAACUCAAAAGUAACAGCUGAAAGAAAACCCCAUGAAAAUACGUAUUCUUUUUGACAAAUAUUUAGUUGGUUUAAAAUAUGUUUGUUGACUGAAUUUUAAAAUGAUACUACAUGAUCACUAAUAUUGUGGUUUUGUUAUAUUUUUAUCAUUAAAUUAUUAAAUGUUACUAUUAAUGGUGUAAUGGGUCAAGAUAAUGUGACAUGUUAUAUUAUCAUUUCAGAUAAAUUUUAAGUCAAAUUGUUCACUAAUCAUUAUAUAUAUAUUUAUUUAUUUUAUUUUCCUUUUUCCUUUUUCCUUUAUUUCUUUAUUUUGGCCUCACCGCCACUGUUAGCCAUCCAAACAAAAGCUCCUAUUCCCCUCUUUUACUUUUUCGGUUAGUCUUACUUGAACCGUUCAAAACUCAUGAAACCAACAUCCAAAUUUUGAUCUUUCAAACUCUGACCGGUAAUCAUCAUCAUUUUGGAGUGUCUGCUUCUCUGGUGUCUUCACUUUCUCUUCACCGUUCGGAUUCUCCAACUACUCUUAAAUGGUGGUUUCCUCAUGCAAUCAAUUUGGUGGUAUUAUUAUUCAGACAAGAAAAAAAACCAGCAAUAUGAGAUCAGUGUUCAAUAAUUUAUGAGUAAACUACUAAAAUAGUCACUUUUGUUUAUUUUAUGCUAUAUUUUAGUAAUUUAUAUGUGAAAUGUUAUGUUUUAGUCAGUUACGUUAUCAUGUUGUAGCAUUUUAGUCACUAAACAAUUAUUUGUCGUUAACGGUAAAUUAACUUGCUCAAAGCCUGUGACCAUCGAACCAAAUGCAUCCGAUGGAGGUCUAUUACUUAGAUGGGGAUCAUUUGGCUCACGAGAGCUGGCCCGAUUCAAGGAACUGUUGGAGAAGCCUGUCAGAUUGAAGCCUGGUUGGCCCGAUAGCAAAGAUAUGGCAACUUAGGCAACUAUGGUAACUAAUCUUUAAAGAUAGAGGGAAUCAUAUCUUGUAAAGAUUAGAUAAGAUUUGAUAUGGCAAUAUCUUGUAAAAUCCCUUAAAUCAUGGGAUUGGUUAAUCUCGUCCGUCGAUGUAAUUGUAUCUUGACCGUCAGUUUUGGGGGAGCUCAAGUAUAAAUAGAGAGCCUCCCCUUCAUUUGUACUUACUAACACGUUAAAUCAUCAUUUCAAACAAAAAUUUUAGGUUAAAUUAUACAAUUGGUCCCCAUAUUUUUUUCGUUUUGAGUAACUUUUUUUCUUUUCUAAUAUUUUAACUUUCCUUUUAUUUUUCAUUCUCUUGUGCUUCUCCUUUUGUUUUUCUUUCUUUUCUAUUUUUUUUAACGUAGUUUUUUUAUAUUUUCCAUUUAUUAAAACUAAUCAUUAUACUUUAUGAAGGUGAUUCCCACUAUUUUCUUUUUGAAAUCAAAAAAAAGUAGAAACUUGCCAUGGGAAGGGAGUGUUGGAAAUUGUAAAUUGCAAAUUCAUAAUUAUUCAUGAGCACUUAUUAGAAAGUGAUGAUUUAUUCAAAGGAUACAUUUAAUUCCAUGAGACAUGUUAUUCUAAGAAGUAUGUCCAAUAAAAAUCAAAUGUAAAGGGUUGUGACUCUUCAAAGUAUUUUCCAUUGAGUGUAUAUAAAUAGAGGGUCUAUGGUGUUAAAAAAAUACAAUUACAAUCAAUCUUAUUUUCAAAAAUUAGAGUAAGAGUUAGGAAAUUCCUCGAUUUUGCUAAUCAAAGGAAAUUCAAAGCUUUGUUAUAUCCUUAGAGGACCUUUGUCUUAACCCUCUAGCAACUUUGUGUGGGGGCAAACAAUUCUAUUUGGAAAGCGUCACCCAUGCCUUGAAGUCUAUUGUUUAAUUUAAUAUUGUCUCCGGAUCUAUCUUCUCCUUUCAAUAUUUUCCAAUAGGGAGCAACAAAGAAACCCUACCGAUGGUAUAUCUGGAAGAUUAUCAAGCGAGCGACAAAGUUCAAGGAACAAUGGAGGAGUUAGGGACAUACUAGGAUGAGUUCUCCAACUAAAGAUCACUUAUUUAUCGAAAGAAUCACGAUGCCAUCUUUCGGUGUCAAAAAAGGAGAAAAGCCAAGUAAGCUAAAAGGCUCCAAAUUAGGCACAAAAUUUGAGACUAUUGACUUUUCCCGGCAUUAUAACCUCUAUAUCAAGGUGAAGAAACAUCUAUCCAACAUGAUAACAAAUAGGGAUGAAUAUGUGGAUCUUUCAUGCCAAAAGGUUUCUAAAUCCUUAGAGAGGAUUCUUUCUCUCUCAAAGUAUAACUUGUCCUUUUAUGGCAGCUUGGGAGGAACUUAGAAUCUAGCUUUAUAACUGCACGAAUGAGAUUUAUUGGCUGUGACGAAUUCUAAAAUGUGAAUUAUCAAUAAAACUAUGUUAGCCAUCUAAGUCAAGUAACAACAGAGGAACCGGAGAGCCAACUUUGCUUUUCGAAUGAUAAGUUAGUGAUGAAGUCCAAUGUGAUAAUGCAAUUUUGAACAAACUCGAAACUUGCCUGAAUGAUGACAAAGAAGAUCAAUUUUAUUGUUCUACUAAAGAUGAAAUGUGUUCGAUUAUUUUAUGAUGCAAUCAUGAACUUAUAUUUAACCUUCAUGAAAUGUAUGCAAGUGGUGUGAAUAUUGUUGAAGAAGAAAAUAUGGUUCUAAGGGAAAGGAACCUUCAUAAAGUAUAGGGACUAGUUUUGACAAAUAGAAAACAUAGAAAAACUAUGUUAAAAGAAACAGAGAAGGGAGGAAAAUAGAGGAAGAAGUAGUAGAGGAUGAAAAAUAAAGAAAAAAAGAAAGAAAGAUGAAAGAACAUAAAAGAAAAAGAAAUUAAAUUGCUCAAAAUGAAAAAAUAUGAGGACUAAGUGUAUAAUUUAACCUAAAAUUUUCGUUUGAAAUGAUAAUUUAACGUGACACUUCAGCUUACCGUUACAUCGUUAACAGUAAUUAGCAGCCUAGUGACUAAAACGUAAUAUUUCAAACAUGUUAAGUGAUAAAGAAAGCCUUCAGUUGCUAGCUAUUUGUUAGUCUGUUAGUUUGUUAUAAUCCAGCUGUUAUAUAGUUGCUAUAUUGUUAGCAGCAGUUUACUCACUCAAAGGCUUCUAUACACUUGUAAUUGUUCACAUGAAAGAUCAUCAAUUCAAUGAAUUCAAUUUCUGAGAUUAGUUUCUGAAUUAUAAUUUAUACAACGCAUUCUUGAUUUACUUUUAGUUCUAUAAAAUUUAGUAAAAGCAUAAGUAAUUAAAAUAUAACAUAAGAUAGAUAAAAGUAACUAUUUUAAUAAUUAGUGAUAGGAAUAAUACGUAAGACAUCCACCAACCAAACAUAAAACUAGUGAAAUAUAUUGGAAAUAGAAUAUUGUAUUAGUUGUUACAAAACAUAUAAUGAAACUAAAGAAUGGUAAUAUUAAGGCUGUGAUAGAACAAUAUAUCUGUCCUUAGCGAAGGAAAUUUCAAAUUCCUCUUAACGAGCAGUGCAUUCUUUCGGAAACCGCUUUGGUAUGGGUGCAAUAGUUGUAAAUCAAGCCAUUUUUGGAGGUUGGAUAGAGCUGAAAUUUGGAUGUUGGUUUUAUGAUUUCGGUAAGGAAAAUGUGAAAACAGAGAAGACUAACUUUUGUUUAAUGAUCAGAAUCCAAAAAAAUUAGUAUAGAAAUUAUGCUUUAAUUUCACCUAAAAUUUUCAUCCAAAAUAAUCAUACAAUGCUUUAAGACCCAUUCAAGACAAAACUAUUUUUUAAGCUAAAUAAUUUAAUCAACUUCAAAAAAUAUAUUAAUUAAUUUUAUCUUUUUAUAUAUUACUUUUCAUUUAAAUAGGAAAAUAACUUUCCCUGAAAUAACUUUAUUUGGUUUGUAAAAAAGUAACUCUUAAAGUAGCAUUUGAUGUUUUACUAUAUUAUGAUUUCAAUGGAGUAUGAUUCCUCGAAAUAUAUUAUCGGGAAUGUGGAUAUCAAGAAUAUUACUUUAUAACGUUUGGUAUACAUUAGAAGGUAUUAAUUAAAAUCUUAGGAAGGUUAUAUUAUCACGUUUGAUUUUCUAAGUACUUUCAUAUAAAUGUAAUGAUAAUUUAUAAAUUUACCUUUAUUAAAUAAAAGGUAAUAUUCAUGUGUUUAAGUUUUAUAAUAAAAUUUAUUUUUAACAAAUAUUUGGAGUAAAUAUUUAAUAAUAAAACUUAAUUGAUAGUUUUUAAAUUAUUUUUAAAUUUAUAAUUUUAAUUAAAAGAAAAAUUGUUUCAAUUUUGUCUUGCAUAUAUUUUCUAAGUAUAAUAAUGCAUGUAUAAAAUUACAUGUUACACAUAGUCUAGUUUUGGAAUAAAUUUUAAAAAUAUUUGAAAUCAUGUUUUAUUUUAGCUAAAUGCUCACUCAUAUGAAUAUAUAAAAAAAAAGAAAUUGAUUUCGAGUAUUGCUCUAAGAAAAACUAUAAAUGAUUUAAAGGUAAGUUAUGCAAAAAAAAAAAGAAGAAGUUAUGAUUAAAUCAGUUAGCUAAACCUAAACUUUUAACUUUUUUUUCCUAUUACUUGUAAAUAUUCACAGAGAUAUAAUAAAAUUAAAUUUUUAAUUAAUAUACCGAAAAAAAAAGAAAAUAAUAAUGAAUAAAUAUAAUAGGUAAACAAUACACUAUAGAGAUGAUAAAACAUGUAUAUAAAAAAUAAAAUUAGGAAAAAAACUUACUAGUAGAAGUAAUAGAGAAAACUAAGUAGGAGGAAGGAGUAGUCAAUAAUUAAGUAAGUAUGGUUAAUUUUGUGUUAGUACUUUUUUAAAGUUUUUAAUUUACAUGGAAAAAUAUUUUUUUCAUUUUUUAUCAUGUGAAUCACAUUGUUAUGUUCAUAAGAAAAUAUUUUAAGAGAAAAUUAAUUUGUAAGGAAUGUUAAUAAAAUUGACAUCUUCAUCUUUUCUGCAAAGAAAUUUUUUACAAAUUUUUUUUAUCUAAAUUUCAAAAUUCUACAAUUAAAACAAACCUCCAUUUUCAAUAUUAAAAACUCAAGGAAAGAAAUGGCAGAAAGAAAACUCCCUUUUCUACGUUUCAAGGCCAUGAAAAGUUAUUUUUAUGGGUUUAUGAUUUCACACGUGACUAAGAAGGAGGAGGAAGGGGAGGGAGAGUCAAAGAGAGAGAUGCAACAGUUAUUUUUAAUUUUAUUUAUUUAUUUUGUUAAAUAAAUAAAUUUUAAAUAUUUUUUAUUUAAUUAAACAUUUCAUGAAUCAUAAUUUAAUUAGUUUAGAGUUUUUUUAAUGGGAGUUAACAGUUUAUAUCUAAAGUAGUAAUGGAAUAAAACUUUAACGUGUACUUUAAGAAAAUAAUUUUUAGAUAUUUAAAAUGAGAAAAAUAACAUUCACCAAAAAAUAAAAAUUACACAGUUUUAACACCUAUUUUUUUAUAUAAAUUUUUUUAUCAAUUAGGGGUGAGCCAACGGUUGGUAGGUGCUCAAUUUCCCUAAAAUAAAAUUUUUUUUUUUAAACUUCUUUAUAAUUUUUAAAAUUUUAAAUUAAUAAUAAUAAAAUUAUACUUUUAACUUUAAAAUGAUAAAAACUGAUUUAAUCUUUAAAAAAUAUAUAAUUAUAAAUUAUUAAAAUGAUAAGUUAUUCUUUUAGUAUCUUAAAAAUAUAAAAUAUAAAAUAUAAUUCCUACCCUCAAAAAUGUUUGAGGCCCAGAUUUUAGAAUUGUUGUCGGUUGGAAAAUUAUUAUAGGGAAACUUGAUCCGGAUAUAUAAUAAUAAUGAUGACUGCCAAUCCGACAAAAUGGGUAAUGUUUUUCUGAAGAGCUGUUAAUUGCCAAGAUAUUAUAAUUCAAUUAAUAAGAAAUAAAAGUAAAUAAUUAUUAUUUAUCGAUUAGUUAAUGUGGUGGAAGUCGGUGGCAAGAGUUGGGGACUUCCUUCAGUUCACGAGUUGUUUCUCAGGCAUGGCUACUUUCAUGUGAUUCCUUCACCUUUUGAUUACUACCACCUUCAGGCGGUCAGGUGGGUGCAUUGACUUCUGCCCACUAGUUCUAACUUCUACAUCUCAUUAUCUGAUCUCCCAGGCGGUAAGUAAAUGGAACUGCAUGCCUGUGGCUGUCUUCAUAUUUACAGUCAACCUUAAUUUUCAUCGAAGGCAUAUACGUUUAGUUAAGACCAAUCUUUCAUUUUAGAAAAGUAAUAAAUGGAACAGUGUUGUUGCUUAACAAAUGAUGAAGGCGACGGUUGUCUUUGUCCCUCAAAGUAAUUAAUCCACCUUAAUCUGCAGCAUUCCUCUCAAUCCAACUUAGUUUACAUGUAAUUCAUCAUCCCCUUAUUCGAAUUUCUUAUAAGUUUUCUCAAUAUAAAUAUACCACACAAAUAAAUAUUUAAUAAAUUUAACCCUUAAUAUUUAUCAAAUUUGUUGUUUUAGUUUAAACCUUAAAAAAUUCACAUAAUUUUAUCUACAACUAAACAAUCUAUUUCCCAUAAUUUUAUUUUUUAUUUUGAAGCUAGAGAUGACAAAUUGAGCUCGCUUUCUUUCUUUUUUAUCUUUUUUGGUAUUGAACUUUCUUGUUUGUUGAUGUUUUUUUUAUUAUAAAAUGACUAGUUGGCUGUUGCAGCCUUUGUCAUAGAUUUGUAAUCAACUUUGUUUAAUCAAUUGUAAUGUUUUAAAUACUAUUUUUAUUGUUAGAUAUUUGCAGUAGUUUAUUAUGACCUGGUCUACAGGCAGUAGUUAGUAAUUAAUUUAAGUUUAUAUGCUUUCCAAGAUUUUAAGAGUUAGCUUUGCAUAUUUAUGUUCUUCUUUGUUAGCUAUACAACCUAUUUAAAAAGGUUUUUUGCUUAUUGAAUAAGCAAGUUCAUUUUUUCCCAAAUUCUCUCUCUUCCAUCUAUUGUUAUAUUAUUGUUCACUUAACAAUAACAGUGGUAUCAGAGCAGUGUAAAAAAAUGAACGACAGUUUAAAAAUAAUUUUUGAUAAUUUUGUACAACCAACAAUUCCUCGCUUUGAUGGUUGCUAUGAUCAUUGGAGUAUGUUGAUAAAAAUUUUCUCAGAUCUAAGAAGUAUUGGCAAAUUAUUUCUGUGGGAAUACUAGAGUUAGCUAAGAGCACAGUAGCAACGAAUGCACAAAAAACAAAAAUUAAUGCUUUCAAAUUGAAGGAUCGUAAGGCGAAAAAUUACCUUUUCCAAGUGAUUGACCGUUUAGUCUUGAAAACCAUCCUUUUCAAAGAUACAUCAAAGGAAAUUUGGGACUCGACGGAAAAGAAAUUCCAAAGAUCAGCUAGAGCAAGGAGGCAACAGCUUCAAGUACUUCGCUUAGAGUUUGAAAUUUAUCGGAUGAAAUCUGGGGAGUUCAUUUCUAACUUCUUAUCAAGAACAAAGGCCAUCAUCAGCAAGAUGAGAACAUUUGGGAGAGAGAAUAAAGGAUGUGGUUGUAGUCGAAAAAAGUCUCCGCUCAUUGACACCAAAGUUUAAUUAUGUGGUUUGUUCAAAUUGAGGAGUCAAAAGAUGUUGAUAUUUUAUCCAUUGAUGAAUUCAAGGUUCAUUACUAGUUCAUGAAAGGAAAUUUCUAUAGCAAGACAAUGCGGAAUUAGCAUUGAAAUUCUCAUCAAAUCAUUUGAGCAAAGGAGAUAGAGGACGUGGAUCAAAUGGCAAUAACAGCAGAGGCCGAGGAAACUAUGUUCAUCAACAAAAUCAAUAUCAAUGAAACUAAUCUCAUGAAAGAGGAAGAGGAUGGGGUGGUUAUUAGGUAAAGUCAGCAGACAAGUCAAAUGUUGAAUGCUAUCGGUGUCACAAGUAUGGUCACUACAAGUCUGAGUGUCGAACAAAUUUGUCAAGUGCAUAUGGAGAAGAAUACAAUUUUGCAGAAAAAUAGGGAGAGCAAGUUGAAGAGAUAUCAUUACUGAUGGUAUGUCAUGAACAAGAGUCAACCAACAAAAACUUGUGGUAUUUAGACAUCGAGUGAUUACAUGAGUGGAGAUAAGAUAGUACUUUCCAUUCUUGAUGAAUCUUUCGGGGAUAAUGUGAAGUUUGAAAACAAUUAUAUGAUCUCUGUGAUGGGAAAAGGGUAGGUAACCAUACUAACUAAAACUAAAGUUGCCCAAACCAUGUCUAAUGUCCUUUUUGUCCCAUAUUUAAAGAACAAUUUGUUAAGAAUUGUCCAGCUGUAAGAAAACGGUUACUAGAUCAUAAUAAAAAAUGGGGUGUGUCAAGUUCUAGAUGACAAAUUAGGAUUAAUCGCUCAAGUUACUAUGACAGCAAAUUGAAUGUUUCCUCAGUCAUUUUAUGCAACAAGUUCGACCGAUCAAGUGCAGCUGUGACAUUUUCAUUACGGUUAUCUCAGUUUUAGAGGUUUACAAAUGUUUCAACGAAAGAAAAUGGUAGUUGGUCUCCCGCAUCUAUCUGGUCCUGCAUAUGUAUGUGAGGAAUGUGUUCUCGAUAAGCAACAUUGAGAACCAUUUUCAAACAAUAAAUUUGAGAGAGAAAGAAAACCAUUGGAUAUAGUGCACUUUGAUAUUUUUCGGCCAAUUAAUCCCAUUUCUAAUAGAGGUAAACAAUAUUUUAUCACCUUCAUUGAUGACUUGAGUAGAAAAAACCUGGGUUUACUUCCUGUAGGAAAAGUCUGAAGCUUUAACAACUUUCAAAACCUAUAAAGCAAUAGCUGAGAAAGAAGUAGAACAUCUGAUACAAGUAUUGCGGACUGAUCGUGGAGGAGAAUAUAAUUCAUAUGGAUUCACAAUUUUUUGCUAAGAGCAAGGCAUUAAAAGACAAUUAAUAGCAACCUACACACUGUAGCAGAAUGGCGUAUCCGAAAGAAAGAAUCGAAUGAUCUUUAACAUGGUGAGAAGUUUAUUGCAACGGGGCAGAGUUCUAAAGACGUUUUGGCUAAAGGCUGUCAACUGGAGCAUUCAUAUUCUGAAUAAGAGUCCAACUUUUUCCGUUCAAAAUAUGAAACUGGAAUAGGCAUGAAACGGAAGAAGACUUGAUGCCAGUCAUUUCAGAAUUUUUGGGUGUAUUGCUUAUGCCCAUGUUCCUGACCAAAAAAUAAAGAAGUUGGAAGACAAAGGGGAAAAAUGCAUCCUUCUUGGUGUUAGUGUUUGUACUAAAGCUUUCAAAUUGUAUAAUUUUAGCACUAAGAACGUUAUCAUCAGUUGAGACGUAAUUUUUUAUGAAGAAAAUUUCUAGGAUUAAGAUACAAUAGAAGUUCAAUGGAAUAUUGCAAGAGAUUUUGAUGGAGAAGAUUUAGAGUUACAAGUUGAGGAUAAUUUGCAGCCACUUCAUGAGCAAGAAAUAAUUCGAAGGCCACCUGAAGCUGCAACUGAACCAACAUCACCAUAUAUAAGAAGAAGGCAUGCAUGGAUGAGGGACUAUGAAGUGACAAGGAUCAACCAAUCCAAAGACCCACUUACGUAUUUUGCUCUUUUUAUAGAUUGUGAUCUUGUAACUUUUGAAGAUGUAGUUAAACAGUCUAAAUGGAGGUGAGCAAUGGAUGAUGAAAUUGCUUCCAUUAAAAGAAACAAAACUUGGAAGUUAGCUGAGCUUCCAAUGGGACAUAAAACUAUUGAUGUGAAGUGGGUCUAUAAGACGAAAUUGAAGGAGAAUGGUGAAGUUGACAAAUGCAAAGCACGCUUGGUCACGAAAGGCUAUACCCAGGAGCUUGGCAUCGAUUACAAGGAGGUAUUAGCUUUAGUUGCUAGGCAUGACACAAUUAGGUUGGUGAUCGCUUUGGCUGCUCAAAAUUCUUGGUCGAUCUUUCAACUAGAUGUCAAAUCGACAUUCUUGCAUAGAGAUUUGAAUGAACUGGUAUUUGUUAAAAAAGCUCCUGGAUAUAUUAAGAUUGGGGAAGAGCAUAAAGUGUAUAAGUUAAAAAAAGGCUUUGUACGGAUUUAAACAAGCCCCUUGAGCUUGGUAUAGUCAUACUGAGGCUUAUUUUCUUAAAGACGAUUUUUAAAAAUGUCCUUAUGAGCAUACUUUUUUGUAAAAGUGGAAAAUGAUAGGAAAAUGUUAAUAGUCUUCCUGUAUGUUGAUGAAUUUUCGUUUACUAGGAAUGAUUAGACCAUGUUUGAAAAGUUCAAAAAAUCCAUGAUGGCUGAAUUUGACAUGUCUGGCCUUAGAAGAAUGCAUUAUUUCCUGAAUAUGGAGGUUGUUCAAUUAGAUGCAGGUAUUUUUAUUUCUCAAAUGAGGUAUGUACAAGAUAUUCUAAGGAGGUUUCUAAUGGUGGACUGCGAUCCAGUUUAUACACUAGCAGAGACAAGUUUAAAGUUCGCAAAGAUGACAAUGGAAGAGACGUUGAUAGUACUUUGUACAAGCAAAUUGUGGGAAGCUUGAUGUAUCUUACUGCGACAAGGCUGGAUAUAACGUAUGUUGUAAGUCUUAUUUUUAUAUCCAUGGAACGUCCAAAGGAAAUGCAUCUCCAAGUAGCAAAAAGAAUCCUUAGAUAUUUUCAAGGUACAACUAACUAUAGAAUUCUAUACAAGAGAGGAGAAAAAUCAAAUUUGAUUGGGUUUAUAGAUAGUGGCUAUGCAUGAGACCAAAAUGAUAGGAAAAGUACAUCUAGUUAUGUCUUUAAGAUGGGGUCAGGAGUUGUUUCAUGGUCAUCGCGAAAACAACCAAUUGUCACUCUGCUAACAAAUGAAGCAGAACUUGUAGCUGCAUCAACAUGCGUCUGUCAAGCCAUUUGGCUGAGAAAGCUUCUUAGGGAAGUUCAUUUCAAACAAAAAGGGCCUACUCUUAUAUAUUGUGACAAUAGUUCAACCAUAAAGCUGUCUAAGAAUCCUAUUUUGCAUGGGAGAAGUAAACAUAUUGAUGUACAAUAUCACUUCUUGAGAGAUCAUGUGAACAAUGAAGAGAUUGAUAUGGUCUACUGCAAGAGUGAGGAUCAAAUCGCAAACAUAUUUACGAAGGCUCUUAAAAUUGUAGCAUUUCAGAAGCUACAAUAAAUGCUUGGAGUUAGCAAGGCAGAAAGUUCUUAGUUUAAACUUAUAUUAGAAAUUAAUAUUAGCUUAAGGGAGGGUUUGUUAGAUAUUUGCAGUACUUAGUAUUUGAUUUAAAUUGAUAUGCUUUCCAAGAUUUUAGGAGUUAGUUUUGCAUAUUUCUAUUUUUCUUUAUUAGAUGUACAACCUAUUUAAAAAGGCUUUUUGCUUAUUGAAUAAACAAGUUGAUUUCCUCCCCAACUCUCUCUUCUAUCUACUGCUCACUUAACAGUAACAGUUAUAUGGCUUUUUUUUCAUUCAUUUUUCUUUUUCCUUUUUUCAUGUGCUGGGUUGGUAAACAAUGUGUAUAAAAGUAGUAUAUGUCAAAAACGAUGUUAGAAAAUUUAUAUUGGAGUAGGAUAAAAUUAUAAAAAUUUGAAACCUAAAGUUAAGAUUUCUUGGUUAAGAAGCUUAAUUAUUAAUUUUUGUAAAGGACCAAGAAUUAAUUUAUUGAAUUUUUUAGAAUUAGAACUAAAUUGAAUUUUUUUUUGUAAAUUUUGAAGGCUAAAUUUAAUUAAUUUUUUAGAAUUCAAACUAAAAUGACAAAUUUUGUAAACAUUAAGGGCUAAAUUUGUUGAAUGUUUUAUAUUUAGGAUCAAAUAGAUAUAAUGUAUAAACAUUGGAGGGCUAAAUCUAUUAUUAGAUAAUAAAAAAGCUCAAAUCAGCAUACUAAAAUAUUUGAUUUCGAAAAGUUUAAUAACUAAAUUAGAAAAAUUAAUAAUUUAAUGACCAAAAUAAAACAAAAGGAAUAAUUUGAUGACUACUUUUAUAAUUUACCCAUAAAUAUAUAUAAUAUAUAACAUAAUAUUAAAGUUAUCCCAUGCAAAGAGAAUGAUGAAUUAAGAUUUCUUCAAUUUUAAAACAACUUAGCAAUGGGAUAUUUUGAGUUUCGUGGGGUGGUUAAUUCAUUUCCCAAUUUUUUAAUAUUAAUCUUAGUAUAAAUUUUUAUCAUAUAUUUUUAUAUAAUACUUAAAAUUAUCUAUAGUCUUUCCUUAACCUUUAAAUAGGAGGAUAAUGUGCUUCAAUGAGCUCGAAUCCACGUCCUUCUACAGUGGGAACAAUGUCGAUGCCAAUUGAAUUAAGACUUAAUCAGCAAUAAUGCUGACAAGAAUAAGGUAAUUCCUUUCAAUCUUAUUCAUAGACUUCAAGAGUAUACGUAAUAUAUAUAUUGUAAUAGCCACGUAGGAAUAAGAAAAAUAUAGGCUUGAUAACAAUUUUGGCCACUAAUGUUCGCAUGUUUUGUCAAAAUGGCUCUAAUUAUAUUUUUGAGCAUUUUUUGGCCAUCAACUUUUGUUCUUUUUUUCAAAUUACUUUUCCUAACAUAUUUAAUAAAAGUACCAUUAAAAAAGUUAAUAGGGAUGAUUUAGAAUUUCAUAUGUGGAAUAUUUUUAAUGAAAUGCAAUUUAUUACUUAAAUAACCCUAUAAGAUAAUUACAUGUGAAAAAUAAUAAAAUAAAUAAAUAAUACAUGAAAUUAAAAAAAUAACUCUUAAUUUGAAGAAAAUAAACGUAAUUAUGUAAAAAAAUUAAUUUAGUAGAAAAACUUCUCAAUAAAUAAAUAUACGAAAGAUUGAAAGCUUUUAAAAAUAAAAAAGAACAAUUGAAACCUUGAUUUUAUUCAUUAAAUAUGUUCGAAAGAGCAAUUUGAAAAAAAAAUCAAAAGUUGAUAAUUAAAAAAUGCUAAAAAAUACAAUUAGAAUAAUUUUGAUAAAAUAUACAAACAUUAAUAGUUAAAUUUAUAAUUAAGCCAAAGAUAUAUAAUAUAUUCCUAAAUAUAUACUAAAAGAUAUACAAUAUAUUUAGAUAUUCCUAAAAAUAAUAUUCCAUAAUAAUAUCUUAACAAAUGUGGAUGCCCUUACCAACGAAAAUUAUAUAUGGAUAAAGAAGAAAUAAUUUAUUUAAUAAUUUAUAUAAUUAAAAAGUUUAUAAACUAAAAUAUAUUUCUCUACUUUUUGGCACGUUCUUUUUUCUCAUCCUUUCUUUCUUGUUUCUUUUGUUUUUCCAGUUUUGGUCAUGCUUGUUUUGUAUUGGUCGUGAAUGGCGAUUGUGGAAGAGACUCUCGCUGAUCUCUCCAUUAGUGAGGAGGAAGAGGCUGCACUGCUGUUGGGUUCGGAAGGUCCAGAGGGUGGGGUGUUUUAUGGGAACUACUUUGUGGGUUCUUUCUUAACGUCAAGUGUGAUUAAUUUUCGGUCUAUGCGAUCAACUCUAGCAAAUUUUUGGCAUCUGAUUGGGGGUAUCUCAAUUUCAAAUCUGAAUGAGGGUCACUAUAUUUUUCGGUUGAUGCGAAUCGGAUUGCGGUGGGGGGUCCGUCUAAUUUUAACUCUCAUCUUAUCAUUAUGCAUCGGCUUAAGGAUGGGGAGGACCCUAUGGUGGUGCCAUUGGUUACUAUGGAUUUCUGGGUGUUAGUCCAUGAUUUACCUCACGGGUUUAUGUUUGAGAUGGUGGAAAAGUAGUUGGGUACUUUUAUCGGGAAAUUCCAUGAAUAUGAUGCGAAAGCAAUCUCGUUGGGGUAUAAAAGUGUCACGCGAGUUCGAGUCCGGUUUGAUAUUCGUAAGCCGUUGAAGAGGAAGAAGAAGAUUGUGCUAGUUAAUGGCAAGUAGGAUUAUCUGAUAUUUGAAUAUGAGAAGUUGACUUUCUCUUCUUUUUUUUUUUCUUUGUAAGAAGCUUGGCCAUGAGGAGGGUUUCUGCCCUAUUUGGAUACUUCAGCAAAAGCAAGACUUCGAGUUUGAGUGGGACAUCACUCUACGGGCUCCAACUAGGCAGGUAGUGGCACCAACGAGCAUCUGGUUAAGGGAAGAUGCGGGUACAAAGGGACAGAUUAAAGGGAUGUCAAAUCCUAUGAAUUGGGGGAUGACGGUAACAGGGCCGAUUUUUCCUCCUACAAAUAUGUGAAUAAAUCAAAAGGCUGGUUUGGUUGAGAAUAUAGUGGUCAAGAAUAAUGUUGUUGGGCUUCUUUCAUGGGGUCACGCAAUAGGGCCUUUUCUGGGCGUAUUGGUGUCUUGGUUCAGUCUCAACCGAUUGGGCUUACGCAUGUCGAUAGACACGAGGGAAUGUGCUGUGUUGGGGAUGACAGAUCGGUUCUGCAUUUGGAUGGUCUGAAGCGGCCUCGUGUCUAAGAAGAUGAGUCAGAGGAGCCUAGUUGUCUAGUCUCGAAGGAUGUUUCUAUUUCUUUAUCGGCAGGCCUUGCUUAGCAAUCCAGCCGGUCGCCAUGAAAACCUUAUGUUGGAAUCUCUAGAGUUUGAGGAAUUCUCAGACUGUAGGCCGCCUUCAGCAUGUGCUAAGAGAUCUUAACCCCUCUGUAAUUUUUCUCGCUGAACUAAAUUAUAGAUUAAUCGUAUGGAGAAAGUACAUAGGAUGUGUGGAUAUCCAAAUGGAGUGGAUGUUUGUUCUAUUGGUAGUAGGGGGCUUUCGUUCGGUUGGAAGCCAAACUACAAUGUCUCUUUACGGUUUUAUUCAGGAAGCCAUAUCGAUGUUUUGAUAAAUGAAGACUUUAAUGGUAAAUGUUGGAGGUGUACAGGUUUUUUUGGGCACCGAAGAGCCACGAAGGGCGGAUUCCUGGAAUCAUUUACAGCAAUUGGACGACUGUCCGAAUGUUCCUUGGCGCAUUUUUGGGGAUUUUAAUGAAAUUGCUUUUUCUUUUGAGAAAUAGGGUGUACUGCUGCUUUGUCCUCUUUUCUGGAUGAUUUGGCUGAUUGUUCGUUGGAGGACCUGGGGUAUACUGGGGUUUGAUUUACUUGGGAAAGGGGCAGAAAGGUUCAUAACAAUAUUCAGGAAUGGCUCAACAGAGGUGUGGCAAAUGAGGCGUGGAGCCAACUGUUCCCAUAUUAUAAGCUGUCCCAUCUGUCGAGGAUUUUUUCAGAUCAUUGUUCCAUUCUACUUGAUACAAGAACACACAUAGGUUCUUCCUCUAGUUCGUGGUAUUUUAAAUUUGAGGCGGCUUGGCUGCUAGAGCCAUCGUGUGAAGCUGAAGUUAGGAGGUUGUGGGAUGGUUUGUUGAGGUCUGUUCUGGAUAGACUUAAAACUGUGAGUGAGGGUUUGCUUGUGUGGGCUCGGAAACUCAAGCGUGGUAAAAAGAUGACUGGAUUAGAUUUAUAGAGACAACUUGAUUUGCUAAAUGGGAUGGAUCCAACUGAGGAGGUUUUGGACGACCUAGUUGAUGUGAAGCUUGUGUUGAAUCUUGCUUAUGAUAAAGAAGAGCUUUAUUGGAAGUAGCGAGCUAGAGCCAACUGGUUGAAACAUAGGUACCGUAAUUUGGCAUUUUUCAACCAUUGUGUUACUCAGAAGCGCUGUAGGAAUCGUAUCCAGGGAUUGGAGGCUGGUGAUGGUAGGUUGGUUGAAUCUGAUGAGGGUUUUGGAUGCAUUGCCGGAGACUAUUUUAAGGGCUAUUCACUUUGCAAGGAAGUGCAAAUGCUAGUGCUAUUCUUUCAAGGGUUGAAAGGUGUAUUUUAGAUGCGAUGAAUGAGAGGCUGGGACGUGCUUUUACAAAUGAUGAGGUAGUUGUUGCUCUUAAUUCAAUGAGUCCUCUUAAGGCAGCUAGGGAGGAUGGUUUGGGCGUUGUGUUUUAUCAACGUUUUUGGCAUAACGUUGGCAAUAAUGUCUGAUGCUUCUGUAUUGACAUACUAAAAGGUGAUGCGCCUUUUUAUUCCAUUAAUCAUACACAUUGUUUUAAUCCCCAAAGUUAGCGAUCGCAGUAACAUAACUCAUUUUCGCCCUAUCAGUCUAUGUAUUCUAUUCAAAAUUACAUAAAAAAAUGUUAGUGAACAGAUUUCAGAAGGUGCUCCACCUUUGUGCAUCCAUGAGGCCCAAAGCGUGUUUGUUCCUAGCCGUCUUAUUUCGGAUAAUGUGGUAACUGCAUAUGAAAUCCUCCAGUGGGUUGAUAGGGAUCCUUUGCUCUCAAGUACGAUAUGAACAAGGCUUAUGACCAUAUGGAGUGGAAUUUAUUGAAACCAUGUUACUAACGAUGGGCUUUUCUUUAGGGUGGGUGAAUGGCAUUAUGUGGUUUCUCUUCAAUCACUUAUUCUGUUGUGGUGAAUGGUCAGAUAGGGGAGAACUUUACUCCGACAAGGGGUCUUUGUCAUGGGGAUCCGUUGAGCCCCCACUUGUUUCUCAUUUGUGAGGAGGGUCUCUCUUCUCUUUUAAGGAUGGUGUUGGUUAAUAGUCAGAUUCGGGGGGUUGCAUGUUAUUCGAGGAGCACCUUUGAUUACUCAUCUCCUUUUUACUGAUGAUAGCCUUAUUUUUGGAGAUGCUACAGUCGUGUGGGGCGACUACUUUGAAAGACCUUCUACAGCAAUAUGCAAGUUGCUCGGGUCAGCUUAUUAACUUUAAAAAGUCAAGUGUUGUCUUUAGCAUAAAAGUGGCUGACGGGAAUCGUUCAGACGUAGGCUGCAUUUUGAGGGUUCACGUUUCUAAUAAUAUAGAGAAGUAUUUGGGUCUCCCUGCUAUUAUAGGUAGGCAUAAGAGACAAGCCUUUGCUAGGUUACAAGAUAGGUUUCGCUGUCGCAUUCUUUCUUGGAUUGCUCAGACACUCUCCAUGAGGGCAGAAAGGUGUUUAUAAAGUCUAUCUUGCAAGCGUUACCAACGUAUGCGAUGAUGUGUUUUUUACUACCCAAGCCAUUUUGUAAGGAAUUGGAAAGCUUAAUGGCUCGAUUCUGUUGGAAAUAUCUAAGAACAAAAGGGUAUACACUGGUGUCCUUGGGCUUUAUUAUGUGAGUUGAAGAAUGGUGGCCUUGGCUUUCGAGCCUUAGCGAAAUUCAACAUUGUUUUGCUUGCAAAAUAGGGAUGGAGACUCCAAACGAACCCGUCUUCUCUAGUGGGAUGACUUUUAAAGGCUAAGGGCACGUUCUGCU
This 39722-nucleotide long non-coding RNA is filed under the name Gossypium barbadense (sea-island cotton). RNAcentral's name for it is "long non-coding RNA (GBAR_LNC012764)". Lineage: Eukaryota; Viridiplantae; Streptophyta; Magnoliopsida; Malvales; Malvaceae. The record is from RNAcentral.